CUCUCUCUCUCUCUCUCUCUCUCUCUCUCUCUCUCUCCCUACUUCAUUCCUUUUAUCUGUAGAUAUAUAUCCUUACAUGUUUCCAUCCUUUUACAACUUACUGAUCUCUCACAUUUUUUUGCUUUCACCAACUUUUCGUUUAUUGCAGUUCUUCCUGACCACUCAUUACAGUCUUCGUUACGUUAAAGACUUCCACUUAUAAUAAAUGGAAAUAGAAUGGCUUGAGAGAAUUGGCGUUGUUUAAAGUGCGCUAAUUUCUCCAGGGAAAACAGACUAAGCCUCGAUUCGUCGAGAAUACAUUCUCCGAUGCUAGUUACAAGGAUGGAAUUUACGAUAUGUUUAAAGUUGUGAUUGGUUAUGGCUAGUGUUUAGUUGUGCUACAAUCAUGGCUUGAUCCUGAUGAAGAAACUAAGUUUCUGGGCACCACAUGGUAUUGACGUGUCAAAAGCGUUGAAGAAAAUAUUAUCUCCAGAAACUUCAUGGGAGAGCAUUCCAUAUAAAUAUGCCAUUCGAUACACAACUCGAACAGGACAAGUCUUUCAAAUGUUCAAAUAUUUCUGAUACUCGUAAGUUUGACGAUGAUUAUCAUCCGCAAAACAAAGAAAAUUUUAGAGG
RNAcentral lists this long non-coding RNA (615 nucleotides) under Acromyrmex echinatior (Panamanian leafcutter ant). RNAcentral describes it as "uncharacterized LOC105155014, transcript variant X1". Lineage: Eukaryota; Metazoa; Arthropoda; Insecta; Hymenoptera; Formicidae. The record is from RNAcentral.